CCUACGGGAGGCUGCAGUAGGGAAUAUUGCUCAAUGGGGGAAACCCUGAAGCAGCAACGCCGCGUGGAGGAUGAAGGUUUUCGGAUUGUAAACUCCUUUUGUUAGAGAAGAUAAUGACGGUAUCUAACGAAUAAGCACCGGCUAACCCCGUGCCAGUAGCCGCGGUAAUACGGAGGGUGCAAGCGUUACUCGGAAUCACUGGGCGUAAGGAGCGCGUAGGCGGGAUAGCAAGUCAGAUGUGAAAUCCUAUGGCUUAACCAUAGAACUGCAUUUGAAACUGUUAUUCUAGAGUAUCGGAGAGGUAGGUGGAAUUCUUGGUGUAGGGGUAAAAUGCGUAGAGAUCAAGAGGAAUACUCAUGGCGAAGGCGACCUGCUAGACCAUAACUGACGCUGAUGCGCGAAAGCGUGGGGAGCAAACAGGAUUAGAUACCCGAGUAGUC
Molecule: ribosomal RNA, 440 nt
Filed under: uncultured bacterium
Lineage: Bacteria
Description: partial 16S ribosomal RNA
Rfam family: Bacterial small subunit ribosomal RNA
Source: RNAcentral